AGUGAACGCUGGCGGCGUGCUUAACACAUGCAAGUCGAACGAGAACGGAUUAUAGCUUGCUAUAAUUGUCAGCUAAGUGGCGCACGGGUGAGUAAUGUAUAGGUAAUAUGCCUCUUACUAAGGGAUAACAAAUGGAAACGUUUGCUAAUACCUUAUACUCCUUAUUAACAGAAGUUAAUAAGGGAAAGAUUUAUUGGUAAGAGAUUGGCCUGUAUUGUAUCAGUUAGUUGGUGGGGUAAUGGCUUACCAAGACUAUGACACAUAACUGGUUUGAGAGGAUGAUCAGUCACACUGGAACUGAGACACGGUCCAGACUCCUGCGGGAGGCAGCAGUGGGGAAUAUUGCACAAUGGACGAAAGUCUGAUGCAGCAACGCCGCGUGGAGGAUGACACAUUUCGGUGCGUAAACUCCUUUUAUAUGAGAAGAUAAUGACGGUAUUAUAUGAAUAAGCACCGGCUAACUCCGUGCCAGCAGCCGCAGUAA
RNAcentral lists this ribosomal RNA (484 nucleotides) under uncultured bacterium. RNAcentral's name for it is "partial 16S ribosomal RNA". It matches the Rfam family "Bacterial small subunit ribosomal RNA", at positions 29 to 523 of the family's 1533-position model. The record is from RNAcentral.